This 157-nucleotide ribosomal RNA is filed under the name uncultured Gigaspora. Its description in RNAcentral is "partial 18S ribosomal RNA". It matches the Rfam family "Eukaryotic small subunit ribosomal RNA", at positions 560 to 716 of the family's 1831-position model. The record is from RNAcentral. Lineage: Eukaryota; Fungi; Glomeromycota; Glomeromycetes; Diversisporales; Gigasporaceae.
UCUGGUGCCAGCAGCCGCGGUAAUUCCAGCUCCAAUAGCGUAUAUUAAAGUUGUUGCAGUUAAAAAGCUCGUAGUUGAAUUUCGGGGUUCCACCGUUGGUCGGGCAAUUGUCUGUACUGGCGUGUGGAAUUUCUCCCUUCUGGGGAACCAUCAUGCC